UAGGGAAUCUUCCACAAUGGACGCAAGUCUGAUGGAGCAACGCCGCGUGAGUGAAGAAGGUUUUCGGACCGUAAAGCUCUGUUGUUGGUGAAGAAGGAUAGAGGUAGUAACUGGCCUUUAUUUGACGGUAAUCAACCAGAAAGUCACGGCUAACUACGUGCCAGCAGCCGCGGUAAUACGUAGGUGGCAAGCGUUGUCCGGAUUUAUUGGGCGUAAAGCGAGCGCAGGCGGAAGAAUAAGUCUGAUGUGAAAGCCCUCGGCUUAACCGAGGAAUUGCAUCGGAAACUGUUUUCUUGAGUGCAGAAGAGGAGAGUAGAACUCCAUGUGUAGCGGUGGAAUGCGUAGAUAUAUGGAAGAAUACCAGUGGCGAAGGCGGCUCUCUGGUCUGCAACUGACGCUGAGGCUCGAAAGCAUGGGUAGCGAACAGGAUUAGAUACCCUUGGUAGUCCAUGCCGUAAACGAUGAGUGCUAAGUGUU
Molecule: ribosomal RNA, 477 nt
Filed under: uncultured bacterium
Lineage: Bacteria
Description: partial 16S ribosomal RNA
Rfam family: Bacterial small subunit ribosomal RNA
Source: RNAcentral